AUGAGGGCCUGGGUUGCGGGAACGGGGAACGGUGGAAGAUUCCGGCCGCUGUUCGGCCACAAGCCGCCAUUCGGCCACAAGCUGAGAGAGGCUGGCGGCAGAGCAAGGAGAGAUGGCCUCGCCAGUAGAACUGGGCGCUACUUCGGCGCUCCUGUUCCCCGCGGCAGCAACCAGCAAGUGGGUGAGAACAUGUUCAAGCGUCGCUGGGAUGAGCCGGCACUGAUGAAGGAGGGCGGCAGUAGCAGGGGGAUCGGUGAGAUGACACAGACGAAGGAGGAGGCAAAAGGUGGAGGAGAAAGCAAGAAACCGGGUCAGAUCAAGGUAGGAGAUGUGGUUGUCCCGGUAAAUUCAGAAGUGAAGAAAGGAAAUAAUUGUGUCUGUGAGUUUGAUGAUGAUGAUGAUGAUUUGUUGGAGUUUGAUGAGGAGCCGCGGGUGAUUAGGGACAAGAAAGGGGAUGAUCAAAAGGGUGGUGCACGGGUGAAAGUUUGCUCUAGGGCGGUUGGCUAUGCGGUUGAAGGCCUAGGUUUUCAGCACAUCCCACAUCAACCGCUUCAAAGGAACAAGAAGACUACGAAGAAGGCUCUUGUGCAUGUGGUUGGUGGUGCUCUUUCGGUGGAAAGGAGUGAAGGGAGUAAAGAGGCACAGGAAGGUUCUGAUUUAGAGAAAGAAAUGGAUUUUUCUAUGAUGGCUGAAAAUAUCUUGGAUGUGGCUGUCCAAGAUGUGUUGGAGGAGGUGUAUGAGAGGGUAGAGAGGGAGGAAAUGGAGGAAAAUGAGGCGGGGGUGCAGCAGGAAAAGAUUGUUCAGCUGGCUAAUGUUGGGGAGGUGUUGGUGACACCAAAAAGGGCUAGCGAGAGGUUGAUGGGCAGCAGCGGGAGACAUUCACUUGAAAAGGCUAAGUCCAAAAAGGCAUGGAUGAAUCUCGACCCUCUCUCA
This 933-nucleotide long non-coding RNA is filed under the name Oryza sativa tropical japonica subgroup. RNAcentral describes it as "lncRNA OsAzu_11g0015060". Lineage: Eukaryota; Viridiplantae; Streptophyta; Magnoliopsida; Poales; Poaceae. The record is from RNAcentral.